This 253-nucleotide ribosomal RNA is filed under the name uncultured bacterium. RNAcentral's name for it is "partial 16S ribosomal RNA". It matches the Rfam family "Bacterial small subunit ribosomal RNA", at positions 524 to 776 of the family's 1533-position model. The record is from RNAcentral.
UACGAAGGGGGCUAGCGUUGUUCGGAAUUACUGGGCGUAAAGCGCACGUAGGCGGAUAUUUAAGUCAGGGGUGAAAUCCCAGAGCUCAACUCUGGAACUGCCUUUGAUACUGGGUAUCUUGAGUAUGGAAGAGGUGAGUGGAAUUCCGAGUGUAGAGGUGAAAUUCGUAGAUAUCGGGAGGAACAUCAGUGGCGAAGGCGGCGACCUGGGCCGAUACUGACGCUGAGGAGCGAAAGCGUGGGGAGCGAACAGG